This 496-nucleotide unclassified non-coding RNA is filed under the name Drosophila virilis. Its description in RNAcentral is "GJ23568". Lineage: Eukaryota; Metazoa; Arthropoda; Insecta; Diptera; Drosophilidae. The record is from RNAcentral.
AACGGGUUGCUGCUAAUGCUAAUGCCGCUUAGUGAAAAUACUGUAAUGUGACAGAAACAGAAUGGUUGACAACUCUGCCUUUGCUUUAAAUUUACGAUUCUUGUUCCCGCGCGAAAGAAAUGCAUGCAGUGUGGUGCAGAGGCAGGCAUAAAAUAGAAGAGAAGGAUCGAAAAUGAAAAUUGGUCUCACGCCAGUUGGGAUAUAGAAUAGAAAGUCCCAUUCCAAAGAGGAUACACACACAAACACGCACGUCCACACAAAAUAUAUUCGCUUACCUGAAAGCAGGGCUAAAGAACGAGCAGCACACACACGCACGCACGCACACACAACACACACACACACGCACACAGUAACUCACGCACACAAACGAACACUUCGACUUUAUUGGUUCCAGGUAGCAUGUCGCUUCGCACAGUUGACGCUCAUCCUGCAAGACGCACGCAACGCAGGACCGUAGCCAGGAUCGACAAAAUGGAACCCCAAAUACUGCCAGCAA